GUUAGAACGCUCGUAGUCGGAUUUCGGGGCGGGCCGACCGGUCUGCCGAUGGGUAUGCACUGGUCGGCGCGUCCUUCCUUCCGGAGACCGUCCCUACUCUUAACUGAGCGGGGGCGGGAGACGGGACUUUUACUUUGAAAAAAUCAGAGUGUUUCAAGCAGGCAGCUCGCUCUUGCAUGGAUUAGCAUGGGAUAAUGAAAUAGGACUUUGGUGCUAUUUUGUUGGUUUCGAACACCGAAGUAAUGAUGAGAAGGGACAGUCAGGGGCACUCGUAUUCCGCCGAGAGAGGUGAAAUUCUCAGACCAGCGGAAGACGAACCACUGCGAAAGCAUUUGCCAGGGAUGUUUUCACUGAUCAAGAACGAAAGUUAGGGGAUCGAAGACGAUCAGAUACCGUCGUAGUCUUAACCAUAAACCAUGCCGACUAGGGAUCGGAGGAUGUUCACUUAUUGACUCCUUCGGCACCUUACGGGAAACUAAAGUCUUUGGGUUCCGGGGGGAGUAUGGUCGCAAGGCUGAAACUUAAAGGAAUUGACGGAAGGGCACCACCAGGUGUGGAGCCUGCGGCUUAAUUUGACUCAACACGGGGAAACUUACCAGGUCCAGACAUUGUGAGGAUUGACAGAUUGAGAGCUCUUUCUUGAUUCGAUGGGUGGUGGUGCAUGGCCGUUCUUAGUUGGUGGAGUGAUUUGUCUGGUUAAUUCCGUUAACGA
RNAcentral lists this ribosomal RNA (712 nucleotides) under uncultured marine eukaryote. RNAcentral's name for it is "SSU rRNA". It matches the Rfam family "Eukaryotic small subunit ribosomal RNA", at positions 618 to 1334 of the family's 1831-position model. The record is from RNAcentral.